RNAcentral lists this transfer RNA (82 nucleotides) under Pseudomonas putida. RNAcentral's name for it is "tRNA-Phe". Lineage: Bacteria; Pseudomonadati; Pseudomonadota; Gammaproteobacteria; Pseudomonadales; Pseudomonadaceae. RNAcentral also lists the same sequence under 2 other names. The record is from RNAcentral.
GCGCUUGCCGCCAACCAAAAUUCCUGUACCGUAUUGGCCUCCGAAGGAGGGGUCGUGGGUUCGAAUCCCGCCGAGUGCGCCA